AAUGAACGCUGGCGGCGCGCCUAAUACAUGCAAGUCGAGCGAGAAGACGUAGCAAUACGUUUGUAAAGCGGCGAACGGGUGAGGAAUACAUGGGUAACCUACCCUAGAGUGGGGAAUAACUAGCCGAAAGGUUAGCUAAUACCGCGUACGCUCCUUGGACUUCGGUUCAGGGAGGAAAGCGAUACCGAGGGUAUCGCGCUCUUGGAUGGGCUCAUGUCCUAUCAGCUUGUUGGUGAGGUAACGGCUCACCAAGGCUUCGACGGGUAGCUGGUCUGAGAGGACGAUCAGCCACACUGGCACUGCGACACGGGCCAGACUCCUACGGGAGGCAGCAGUAAGGAAUAUUGCGCAAUGGGCGAAAGCCUGACGCAGCGACGCCGCGUGGGGGAUGAAGGUCUUCGGAUUGUAAACCCCUUUCGGGUAGGGAAGAAAGACCUCGACCUAACACGUCGGGGUCGUUGACGUAACCCA
This 471-nucleotide ribosomal RNA is filed under the name uncultured bacterium. Its description in RNAcentral is "bacterial SSU rRNA". It matches the Rfam family "Bacterial small subunit ribosomal RNA", at positions 29 to 481 of the family's 1533-position model. The record is from RNAcentral.